AUACUUUCACUAUGGCUGACGUCAAGCUGCCAUGGUGAUGUCACUGAAUGUGAGUUGGGAAGAGACAGGGGUCUUCAGCUCAUUCCGGGCAGCAUGGAUAACUGCAGCACACUGCUGCGUAGAUCCAUACGCAGGCAUCCACAGUGGGGAUGCUGUUGGGGAUACCGGAGAAACAAAGGAAACCCAGAAAUCUCGUACACCGCUGUUACCUUUGAGGAAGAGGCUGUCAAACGGGAGCUCACGAAUUAAUAACGGGAAAAACUUCAAAGGUAAACGUGAUUCCUGCAUGCUCAGUUUUACCCUGGAAUUUUGUCAAAAGUUGAUGGAUAAUGUUGCUGAGAUUGAAACCCAGGCAUUUUAA
Fukomys damarensis (Damara mole-rat) is the source of this 361-nucleotide long non-coding RNA. NCBI's taxonomy places the organism in Eukaryota, Metazoa, Chordata, Mammalia, Rodentia, Bathyergidae. The record is from Ensembl.